UGGGGAAUAUUGGACAAUGGGCGAAAGCCUGAUCCAGCCAUGCCGCGUGUGUGAAGAAGGUCUUCGGAUUGUAAAGCACUUUAAGUUGGGAGGAAGGGCAGUAAGCGAAUACCUUGCUGUUUUGACGUUACCGACAGAAUAAGCACCGGCUAACUCUGUGCCAGCAGCCGCGGUAAUACAGAGGGUGCAAGCGUUAAUCGGAAUUACUGGGCGUAAAGCGCGCGUAGGUGGUUCGUUAAGUUGAAUGUGAAAGCCCCGGGCUCAACCUGGGAACUGCAUCCAAAACUGGCGAGCUAGAGUAGGGCAGAGGGUGGUGGAAUUUCCUGUGUAGCGGUGAAAUGCAUAGAUAUAGGAAGGAACACCAGUGGCGAAGGCGACCACCUGGGCUCAUACUGACACUGAGGUGCGAAAGCGUGGGGAGCAAACAGG
RNAcentral lists this ribosomal RNA (429 nucleotides) under Pseudomonadota bacterium. RNAcentral's name for it is "Proteobacteria bacterium partial 16S ribosomal RNA". It matches the Rfam family "Bacterial small subunit ribosomal RNA", at positions 355 to 776 of the family's 1533-position model. The record is from RNAcentral. Lineage: Bacteria; Pseudomonadati; Pseudomonadota.